RNAcentral lists this long non-coding RNA (728 nucleotides) under Bos indicus x Bos taurus (hybrid cattle). RNAcentral's name for it is "lncRNA (ENSBIXG00005027215.1)". Lineage: Eukaryota; Metazoa; Chordata; Mammalia; Artiodactyla; Bovidae. The record is from RNAcentral.
CUCCCAGCACAGAGCAGGAGCUUGGUGACUGAGUUGCUGUUGUGUGGCCAACAUUCUGCUUCAGUCAGUUGCUCUUGACAGAUGUAAUGAAUGAAUUUGUAAAUAUCUGACACUUUUUCAUGUGAAGAUAGAGUAAAGAGUAAAAAGAUAAUGCUGACUCUUUAGUCUUUUUCCAUGUGUCUUUGUGAUUUCCCCACAGGGAGGUGAAGAAUAUUGAUCAAAGAGCGAAAGACAAAAAAAAGGCAAACCACAUGUUCAUCCAGGCUUCAACCUUCCUUGAGGACACUCCUGAAAAGAAAUCUAGAAGAAGAUAUCAGAGGGAGACUGAGUUUAUUUUGAGGAAGGAAAAGGAAGAGAGGGAUGGAGAAUGGAAACAGAAUUUGACUGACUCUUCCUUCUCACCAUCAAGCACGGAUGAGGACAUGUUGAGCAUGGAAGCCAGGACAUGUCUUUCAGGAUAAUCCUUUGCACAGCGUGGGUCCCAGAUCAUGCCUGCUCGGACCCCUUCCAGAAGUUACUGAGGACUCAUAACCAUAGGCCUCUUGGCAGUUCAAGAUGAAAAGAUCUGUCUGUACUCUUUGUAAAUAUUAGAAGGGAAAAUUGUGGUGAAGAAUUCUUCACACCCUUUAUAAAGGGGGGGGGGGCGGGGAUAAGCGCCAAAGGGAACAUUCAAGAAGCACUAGCUAUAAUAUGGAAUAAAGCAAAUGAGUAAUUGUGUAAUACCCCCA